GACGAACGCUGGCGGCGUGCCUAAUACAUGCAAGUCGAACGCUGAAGGAGGAGCUUGCUCUUCUGGAUGAGUUGCGAACGGGUGAGUAACGCGUAGGUAACCUGCCUGGUAGCGGGGGAUAACUAUUGGAAACGAUAGCUAAUACCGCAUAACAGUAGAUGUUGCAUGACAUUUGCUUAAAAGGUGCAAUUGCACCACUACCAGAUGGACCUGCGUUGUAUUAGCUAGUUGGUGGGGUAACGGCUCACCAAGGCGACGAUACAUAGCCGACCUGAGAGGGUGGUCGGCCACACUGGGACUGGGACCAGGCACAGACUCCUACGGGAGGCAGCAGUAGGGAAUCUUCGGCCAGGGGCGGAAGUCUGACCGAGCACCGCCGCGGGAGGGAAGAAGGUUUUCGGAUCGUAAAGCUCGGUUGUAAGAGAAGAACGAGUGUGAGAGUGGAAAGUUCACACUGUGACGGUAUCUGACCAGAAAGGGACGGCUAACUACGUG
RNAcentral lists this ribosomal RNA (495 nucleotides) under uncultured bacterium. RNAcentral's name for it is "partial 16S ribosomal RNA". It matches the Rfam family "Bacterial small subunit ribosomal RNA", at positions 28 to 507 of the family's 1533-position model. The record is from RNAcentral.